This 448-nucleotide ribosomal RNA is filed under the name Granulicatella adiacens. Its description in RNAcentral is "bacterial SSU rRNA". It matches the Rfam family "Bacterial small subunit ribosomal RNA", at positions 28 to 464 of the family's 1533-position model. Lineage: Bacteria; Bacillati; Bacillota; Bacilli; Lactobacillales; Carnobacteriaceae. The record is from RNAcentral.
GACGAACGCUGGCGGCGUGCCUAAUACAUGCAAGUCGAACGAGAGCGACCGGUGCUUGCACUGGUCAAUCUAGUGGCGAACAGGUGAGUAACACGUGGGUAACCUGCCCAUCAGAGGGGGAUAACAUCCGGAAACGGAUGCUAAAACCGCAUAGGUCUUCGAGCCGCAUGGCUUGAAGAGGAAAAGAGGCGCAAGCUUCUGCUGAUGGAUGGACCCGCGGUGCAUUAGCUAGUUGGUGAGGUAACGGCUCACCAAGGCCGUGAUGCAUAGCCGACCUGAGAGGGUGAUCGGCCACAUUGGGACUGAGACACGGCCCAAACUCCUACGGGAGGCAGCAGUAGGGAAUCUUCCGCAAUGGACGCAAGUCUGACGGAGCAACGCCGCGUGAGUGAAGAAGGUUUUCGGAUCGUAAAACUCUGUUGUUAGAGAAGAACAAGUGCUAGAGUAA